UUUUUUUAUUUGUAUUAGCAGUUGUCCUCAUCAGGGAGAAGAAAAGACAGUGACCUGUUAUCCCACCACCAUGGCAUUAAUCAUUAUCAAGUUCAGUAUGCCCAAAUACAAAGAAAUAUCCCUAGAAUGUUCCAGUUAGCAGUCAAUUUUGUCUAUUAAUUUGAAGUUGAGAGUAUAGUUGCUUUUUUCACAAAAUAAAGAUGAAUAAUGCUUUUUUAAAUUUUAAUUUGACCUCUUUAAUAAUAUAUUCACAUAAUUUAAAUUUCAAAAGAUAUAUAAGCAUAUUCAGUAAAAUUCUCUCAUCCAAUCCCAUCCCCAGACACCUACUUCAUCCAAGAAGCACACAGUAUUGUAAUGGAUUAGAAAAAGGAAAGUUUCGACAUUUUCCCCUUGUUGGAGUUUUUUAAAUGCCAUCUAUAUAAGAAACAGAGAGAUUUUGAUAAUCUUUAAAACUGCAAGUACCAUAUCUUUUCCAUAUUGAGCAAAAUAUACUUCAAUUUAGUGGAUGUUUAAAAGUAUUGCUUUCUGGCAUUUGUUUUUAAAAGAAAAGUUAAGAAGUUUUAUAUGAACAUAUUUUGCAGUUCUAAGUUCAAAUUAAUGAAGCAGUUAGAGUGUCAAUUUGUAUCAAUUUUUCUAGGAUUACAUUUUCUUGCUUCAGUGUCAGUGGUUCCUGCAAAUCCUACAGAAUCAAGAAAACGUAUUUCAAACUUUGUAGAAAAUUUGAAAAUCUAAAAUCUAAUUAUAAUCCAAAAUCUAAUUCUAUCCUGAAGAAGAAAUUACUAAUACCAUUGCUUAACCCAUUUGCUAAGGAAGUAAGUGCAUUGAAAAUGAUCUAAAGCAUUUUUUUAAUUUCACGGACAAAUAACUUUGCACCCCACUAUAAAAGAAAUUAGUAAGCUCAGGGAGCCUUCUUAACCUUAAUUAUUUCUUUGGAAAAUAAACUGCACACAUAUAUAGGUCUUGAAUCAGUUUUUCAAGUUAAUCAUUUAAACACAAAUAAGCUAGUUGCACUUUACUCAUUGUGAGAAACAGAACAUUUCCACUGUUCUUUUAAAGAUGUAGCAAGAAAACAACGUGAAAGCAAGGGAAACAUUUUAGCUUCACCUCUCACCAAACACAGCUAGUUCUGAAAGCUAUGACUAUAAUUACAACUAUAAGAACUUUUUCUUCAGCACAGCUUUAUUUUAGAGUAGCCAAAAUUCAUUUGUUCAUUAAAAUUCUUUUUUAAAAAACAGAAAAGUAAUAUUAUAUAUUGGUCACAUGACAUGAUUUCUCCUUUAUCUGCAUACCUCGUUUUUAGAAUUAAUUUUUAGAAAGUGAAAAUUACUAAACACAAAGAAUUUCAAAAAUAGACAUCCACCAAAAUAAAACCCAGCUGUUUUACUAAUACGUGCAUUUUAGAAUGAUAUUAAAACUCAGUUUAAUUACAUUUCUGAAAAAUUAUGUGAAUCUUAUUCUAAAUUCCUUUGAUUCUUGUUUUCUUUUUUUUUUUUUUUUUUUUUUUUUAAGCAUGUCACUUCCCAAGUUAUGGAUACUUGGACAAUCAAGUAUUUAGUUUCGCUCCUCUUCUCUUGUCAUUAUCCACAACAUUUCUUCCUGGAAGAUUUUUUUUAAAAGUCUAAACUUUCUCUGCAUGUUUUCUGGGGCCUCUUGCUUCUUUCACACUCUGGGUGUCAUCAAGUGGCUCCUAUCAGCUGUACCCAAUGGCAAUCCAGAGAGCAAGUUAGCAAGAUGUGGCAGCCCAUGAAGCUCAGGCCAUUUGACGUGCUGUUCAUUGCAGAUGGCAGGGGCAGUUUCCAAUUUUAGCUCAUCCAAAUUAAUUGCCCUUAAGUGGAAACAACUUGAAUACAGCUGACUUCUCCUCAGAAGGAAUGAAGGACAGAAGACAGUGAGGCAAUAUCCUGAUGGUCCUUGAAGAUUUUGCCCAAUCAAACAUGUGGAUGAUGGUGAUGUCACUGGAAUGGAAAGUCAGUCUCUGCACUGUCCUCCAUCCCAAUAUACAGUGUCAGUGGAGAUCAAACAUCCCUGCAAGUAACAAAAUGUUCCUGGAGGGAUGUCAGAGGAGGCCUAGUGGAAAGUCAGUAUUUUUAUCACCACUAAGC
This 2102-nucleotide long non-coding RNA is filed under the name Homo sapiens (human). RNAcentral describes it as "HSALNT0112126". The record is from RNAcentral. Lineage: Eukaryota; Metazoa; Chordata; Mammalia; Primates; Hominidae.